GGGGGCGAACUAGAUUCGACGGGGACGUCGGGGCGAUGAGUGGCGAGCCGAGGUCCGCUCCUCGUAAAUCAGCGGGCGCUUUAAGUGCCAACGAGAACACUGAACUCGCCUUAGCUGCUUAAGUCAGCUAACGUCUGACGGUGGCCGCGCCUCCCGGGCCCCGUCAGCGUAAACCCAGGAGGCUACCGGUCCGGAGCGCCUCGGCCGGAUGCGGGAAGCAUGAGGCUGGUCGGCGCACCUCCCGCCUUGCCGGAGGGGCGUCGACGAGAUCGAAGGCAGGGCUACGCUCGUAGGGACUCAUCGUGACGCGUCUUCGGACGGGACGGGCAGCACGUCCCCGCCUCCACCA
Molecule: transfer-messenger RNA, 349 nt
Filed under: Actinomycetes bacterium
Lineage: Bacteria; Bacillati; Actinomycetota; Actinomycetes
Also listed under: 1 other name
Rfam family: transfer-messenger RNA
About the family: Bacterial tmRNA, also known as 10Sa RNA or SsrA, is named for its dual tRNA and mRNA-like properties. Its role is to liberate the mRNA from a stalled ribosome.
Source: RNAcentral